AAAGCUUCUCUCUCUCUCUCUCUCUCUCUCUGUAGCCUCAGAAAAGUAGCGUCCCCCCGUCGGCCACCGCCGCACUGCCGCCCGCGUCGCCGCAUUCGAGCCUUCUCGUCUCCUCCAGCAAUCCGUCCAAACCCUAGGAUGCUAAGCCUGAAAUAUCCACCACCAUCAAUUAUAAGAAGAAGAUUGGAAGUGAUCAAUGUUCCCCAAAAGUUCAGUACUCUAGUGGUAUGUGGUGCAAGGGGUCCAAGACCGAGAUACCCUCGCGUAUGGAAAUCUCGGAAGAGAAUUGGCACCAUCUCCAAAUCACAGAAGCUUGUCGAUUGUGUCAAAGGAUUAUCAAAUGUCAAGGAGGAAGUAUACGGAGCUCUUGAUUCAUUUGUAGCUUGGGAGUUGGAGUUCCCAUUGAUUGUAGUUAAGAAGGCACUGAAGACCCUUGAGAUUCAAAAGGAAUGGAAGAGAAUGAUUCAGGUGAUAAAAUGGAUGUUAAGCAAAGGUCAAGGAAAGACCAUGGGAACCUACUAUACGCUGUUAAAUGCUUUAGCUGAGGAUGGUAGACUUGAAGAGGCAGAGGAAUUGUGGAUGAAGUUAUUUUCAGAAAAUUUGGAAAGUUUGCCUCGCGUUUUCUUUAUUAAAAUGAUCUCAAUAUAUUAUGGGGAGGGCAUGAACGAAAAGAUGUUUGAGGUUUUUGCUGACAUGGAAGAGCUUGGAAUCAGGCCAGAUCAAACCAUUGUGAAUAUGGUUGGUAAUGUCUUCCAGAAAUUGGGCAUGAUGGAUAAAUACAAACAGCUUAAUAGGAAAUAUCCACCAGCAACUUGGGAAUACCGAUAUAUUAAAGGGAAGCGUGUAAGGAUAAGAGUGAAGCAAUUAAAUGCUUCAAAUGAUGAAGCUGACAAGCCGAAUAUUACAUUCACUGAGCAAGCUGAAACCAUUUCAAAAGACGUCAUCCAUGAACAGAUCGAGUGAAGCAAAUAGAGCUUUUGCACAUUUCUUUCGUCCAUGAACAGGCUGUAUAGAAUUUGUCAAUCGGGAAGUUCUGUUGGUGUGGGAGAUAAAAGAUAAUCUCGUGUACAGCUUGGUGCUUCUACGUGAAAAUGGUCCGUAUAUAUGCGAAAACUACGUGCCAUAUUUAUCUGACCAAGGGAUUUGGGGAUUGAUUGCUCCGCUGAAAGAAAUGGACAAUGGAAGAAUUAAAAGGGAGUUCUGGCUUGCGCUGUCUGAUACAUGAAGAUGGGGAGUCAUAUUAUCCUCAAUAUGACUGCUGCAUAUUGUAAUAACUGCCUGUAUACUGGAGAUUUGCAAGUCAUCUUCCCUGUAUCAAUAUUGUUCUAUACUUCAGGAGGGUCUGUGAGAAAAGUUUAAUGUCGACGUUGGGGGGGUUUUGUGAGACACCACAAAGUUUAGGGGCUAUGUGAGAAGAUGCCCCUGCGCUCUUUGCUCUUUGCUCGAUGCUCUUUUGCUUUUGUUAAACCUUUAAGAAGAGGAGGAAGAAAAAGAAGCUUUGUUGAAAAGCGGCAACAACUGCUGUUUGUCUAUUCCUGUGCGUGGUGGAGUGGUGACAUGGGCUCUUGCUCCACGUGCCAUCCAACGCGGCUAUUCCUCGCGUCGGCAGCCCCGCGCUCGUGCUUUUCAUCCCUCUGCUUCGAAGGACCCAAAAUUUGGUUG
Asparagus officinalis (garden asparagus) is the source of this 1662-nucleotide RNA transcript. It is a transcript of the gene named pentatricopeptide repeat-containing protein At4g21190, with no coding region annotated. The transcript is spliced from 7 exons. NCBI's taxonomy places the organism in Eukaryota, Viridiplantae, Streptophyta, Magnoliopsida, Asparagales, Asparagaceae. The record is from RefSeq and is a predicted model, not a curated record.